UACGUAGGGUGCAAGCGUUAUCCGGAAUUAUUGGGCGUAAAGAGCUCGUAGGCGGUUUGUCGCGUCUGCUGUGAAAACCCGAGGCUCAACCUCGGGCCUGCAGUGGGUACGGGCAGACUAGAGUGCGGUAGGGGAGAUUGGAAUUCCUGGUGUAGCGGUGAAAUGCGCAGAUAUCAGGAGGAACACCGGUGGCGAAGGCGGGUCUCUGGGCAAUAACUGACGCUGAGGUGCGAAAGCGUGGGGAGCAAACAGG
This 253-nucleotide ribosomal RNA is filed under the name uncultured bacterium. RNAcentral's name for it is "partial 16S ribosomal RNA". It matches the Rfam family "Bacterial small subunit ribosomal RNA", at positions 524 to 776 of the family's 1533-position model. The record is from RNAcentral.